UGUGGGAGGUUGUAAUGAAUGGCCACAGUCACAGCCUAGACAAUCAAUAAUUUUCUAUUUAUGGAGCAUUUCUCCGGAGCGACCAUGACCUGUGCAUAGUCAAUUAAAAUUCCAUUCGUAUGACGAGAUACGUGUUGUCCAGGGACCAGGAUAUCGUGCCUCUUAAUUUGGCUACGAUUAUUUAUUCUAGAAUAUUGCCACUCUAGUUAAUAUUCUUCCAUGCCUAAAUACUAGUUUUCAAUAAGUUCGAUUGUAGUUAAGUACGCAGAUUUUCUAGAUUUUAAUCUAAGAUUUUGUCGUGACCUGUUGUAUUGUAAGGGAUGUGUUUGAUAAGUAUUUUAACCACUCUGUGUGCUGCCCCAUCGAAGAUAGAUGAACUACGUCCACAGAAAAUUGUCGAAAACAUCUCGUUUAAUUUGUUUAUAUACGAACUCUAUUGGUGCCACCAUGUAUACGAUAAUACCU
Non-coding RNA from Cinara cedri, 465 nucleotides. NCBI's taxonomy places the organism in Eukaryota, Metazoa, Arthropoda, Insecta, Hemiptera, Aphididae. The record is from the annotation of a GenBank genome assembly.